RNAcentral lists this ribosomal RNA (372 nucleotides) under uncultured bacterium. Its description in RNAcentral is "bacterial SSU rRNA". It matches the Rfam family "Bacterial small subunit ribosomal RNA", at positions 527 to 896 of the family's 1533-position model. The record is from RNAcentral.
GUAGGAGGCGAGCGUUGUCCGGAAUCAUUGGGCGUAAAGAGCGCGCAGGCGGCUUGGCAAGUCGGGUGUGAAAUCCCGGGGCUCAACCCCGGGACUGCAUCCGAUACUGUCAGGCUAGAGGUAGGUAGGGGAGAUCGGAAUUCCUGGUGUAGCGGUGAAAUGCGCAGAUAUCAGGAGGAACACCGGUGGCGAAGGCGGAUCUCUGGGCCUUACCUGACGCUCAGGCGCGAAAGCUAGGGGAGCGAACAGGAUUAGAUACCCUGGUAGUCCUAGCCGUAAACGUUGGGUGCUAGGUGUGGGCGGAUAUCAACCCCGUCCGUGCCGAAGCUAACGCAUUAAGCACCCCGCCUGGGGAAUACGGCCGCAAGGCUA